Molecule: ribosomal RNA, 695 nt
Filed under: uncultured Bacilli bacterium
Lineage: Bacteria; Bacillati; Bacillota; Bacilli
Description: bacterial SSU rRNA
Rfam family: Bacterial small subunit ribosomal RNA
Source: RNAcentral
GUGCUUGCACCGAGCGGAUGAGUUGCGAACGGGUGAGUAACGCGUAGGUAACCUGCCUCUUAGCGGGGGAUAACUAUUGGAAACGAUAGCUAGUACCGCAUAAAAGUCGAUAUCGCAUGAUGUUGACUUGAAAGGUGCAAUUGCAUCACUAAGGGAUGGACCUGCGUUGUAUUAGCUAGUUGGUGAGGUAACGGCUCACCAAGGCGACGAUACAUAGCCGACCUGAGAGGGUGAUCGGCCACACUGGGACUGAGACACGGCCCAGACUCCUACGGGAGGCAGCAGUAGGGAAUCUUCGGCAAUGGGGGCAACCCUGACCGAGCAACGCCGCGUGAGUGAAGAAGGUUUUCGGAUCGUAAAGCUCUGUUGUAAGAGAAGAACGAGUGUGAGAGUGGAAAGUUCACACUGUGACGGUAACUUACCAGAAAGGGACGGCUAACUACGUGCCAGCAGCCGCGGUAAUACGUAGGUCCCGGAGCGUUAUCCGGAUUUAUUGGGCGUAAAGCGAGCGCAGGCGGUUAGAUAAGUCUGAAGUUAAAGGCUGUGGCUUAACCAUAGUACGCUUUGGAAACUGUUUAACUUGAGUGCAGAAGGGGAGAGUGGAAUUCCAUGUGUAGCGGUGAAAUGCGUAGAUAUAUGGAGGAACACCGGUGGCGAAAGCGGCUUCUCUGGUCUGUAACUGACGCUGAGGCUCG